RNAcentral lists this transfer RNA (71 nucleotides) under Vitex trifolia (simpleleaf chastetree). Its description in RNAcentral is "tRNA-Phe". It matches the Rfam family "tRNA". From Rfam's summary of the family: Transfer RNA (tRNA) molecules are approximately 80 nucleotides in length. Their secondary structure includes four short double-helical elements and three loops (D, anti-codon, and T loops). The record is from RNAcentral. Lineage: Eukaryota; Viridiplantae; Streptophyta; Magnoliopsida; Lamiales; Lamiaceae.
AACCGCAUGGCCGAGUGGUAAGGCAGGGGACUGAAAAUCCUUUAUCCCAGUUCAAAUCCGGGUGUCGCUUG